CUUCCCACAGAGAGCGGUUUGAUAUGUCACUGAAACCAGCAUCCAGGUGGUAUUGCUCCAUAUGCCUGAGACCCUAACAAAAGCCUAAUUACAACUCAUAUGCCUGGAGCCAGGACAUGUGCAGGAUGGUGAUGUAACUUUCCUCUCUGGAAUGGGUCCUGCACAAAGGAAUGAUAGUAACAUAUUGCAAAGCCAGACACACAGCCAUGAUGGUCCAAGUUAUAUUGGGAUUCAGCCAAUAGAAGAUAUUUUGCCUGUCAUCCCUAAGCUUAGGACAAUAGGUAAAAUCCUGGGUUGCAUAUUUGUACAAAGCUCACAGAAGUUUACAACACUUACUCAUAAUGUAUAAACUUGGGUGGUACAGACAGUUUCAUAACAAGGCCCGGCAAAAAGUUAAGAUUGUGACUCUCAAUUACACACCCAGGUGAAAGUAAAAUCUGUCACCAUCCCA
Molecule: long non-coding RNA, 451 nt
Filed under: Homo sapiens (human)
Lineage: Eukaryota; Metazoa; Chordata; Mammalia; Primates; Hominidae
Description: long intergenic non-protein coding RNA 293
Source: RNAcentral